CCACAAAGCAAUGCUUCAUCUGAGCUCUCCAGCAUCCUGCACAACAGGGCUGCUAGCUGAAAAGGUGAUCCAUUAUUCAUUUGGGUAGCAUCUUGCUCAAAGACAUGCAAGACAGAUACAUUUGGCAUGACCCUGGAAUUUUUCACAGCAGUUUUGUUUUUAUCCAGAUGCCUGGCAGCCAAAGAGACAAGCAUGGAUCAGCACAUGCUGUUGCCUUGUAUGACUGAAUGGGUCCUGAAGCUGGGAGUUCCUUGCUUCCCCUAGAAAGAGAUGGAAGGCAGUUUCAUCACGCUGAAUUUCUUGACUUGAAGCAGCCAAUGAAGCCCCCCACAGGUGUGAAAGCCCCUGGCAAAGAGCUCUGUGCCAGACCGCCAGGAGCAGUGAAGUUAUCCACUGGACACACAGGAGCUUCCAAUUCACAGGGCAGUUCCAGUCAUGCAAACAAGGGGAAAAAGUACUUUUCAGUCUGGAUUGCUUUUAGCAAGCAAAGAAUUCCUAAGAGUCUCGACUACUUAAGCACCAGCAACCCUGGAGGUGUCAGCUUUGACUGGUAGAGGCUGCAAGUGUAGUGAUUUACAAGAUGGAUCAUGAGAAAGCAGAAAAGGUCUUCCUGCUGCUGUCUGCUGGUCACAGACAAUUCCUCUUCAGCCUUCCAUUCAAAACAGAACAAGCUGCAGAAAAUAAGUGUUUCCAUGCAAAAUAGACAGGGAAACAUCUGCCAUGGAAAAAAGAAGAUGCCAGAAAAUAAAGAAGCUUCAAAAAAGAAGCUGUCCA
RNAcentral lists this long non-coding RNA (774 nucleotides) under Junco hyemalis (dark-eyed junco). RNAcentral describes it as "lncRNA (ENSJHYG00000004887.1)". The record is from RNAcentral. Lineage: Eukaryota; Metazoa; Chordata; Aves; Passeriformes; Passerellidae.